CCAUAGCCCUGAUAGAAGCGGUAUCCUUUUUAUUUUUUUUCAAAAUAAAAAGAUACAAGUGUAAAGCAGGAAACAGC
This 77-nucleotide small RNA is filed under the name Flavobacterium sp. ov086. RNAcentral's name for it is "Flavo-1 RNA". It matches the Rfam family "Flavo-1 RNA". The record is from RNAcentral. Lineage: Bacteria; Pseudomonadati; Bacteroidota; Flavobacteriia; Flavobacteriales; Flavobacteriaceae.